Molecule: ribosomal RNA, 393 nt
Filed under: uncultured bacterium
Lineage: Bacteria
Description: partial 16S ribosomal RNA
Rfam family: Bacterial small subunit ribosomal RNA
Source: RNAcentral
AUACGGAGGACGCGAGCGUUAUCCGGAUUCAUUGGGUUUAAAGGGAGCGCAGGCGGAGAUGCAAGCGUGACGUCAAAUUUCGGGGCUCAACCCCGUCUCGCGUCGCGAACUGCGUCCCUUGGUUGCGGGAAGGGGAGGCGGAACUCGUGGUGUAGCGGUGAAAUGCAUAGAUAUCACGAAGAACUCCGAUCGCGAAGGCAGCCUUCCGGCCCGUCAACGACGCUCAUGCUCGAAGGUGCGGGUAUCAAACAGGAUUAGAUACCCUGGUAGUCCGCACAGUAAACGAUGGACACCCGCGGUUUGGCCUAUAUGGCUGAGCCGCCAAGCGAAAGCGUUAAGUGUCCCACCUGGGGAGUACGCCGGCAACGGUGAAACUUAAAGGAAUUGGCGGGG